GUCCUGCUAUACAAUUUCUCACUACGCACCCAUACGAUCCGUUGUGGCUGGUAUUCGCGAGAUCUAAAUUACGAGACACCUGGUGCCAUCAACCGGAUUAUGAAUGCAACUGCUUCCAUUGUGCAGUUAACAACAUUCGGAUAAACAACCUUAGUUUGUUUUUAACAUAAUGUCGAUAACGAGCGCAACGGAUAACACGUCUGACUACGGAUCAGAAGAUUUCUGGCACGAUCAUAAAUCCUUUUUUUGGUCACUUUGACUGAUUUGACAUUCAUGGGAGGAUCGUCUGAUUGCUAACUGGGUACGUACUUCAUCUUCGAAGAAUUACAGAUGUAUACGUAUAUUUUAUCCUAGAAAAGCAACGUGGGUGCAACAAACAUCACCAAAUUCGGAUUCCUGAGAUCAAAAUACAUGAAGAUAGCGUGAGGAACUCUUAAAAAAAAAAUCUGUGCUUUCGUCUCAGAUUUUAAGAAAAUUCCAAGGCUAUAGGCUUAUCGUUUUUUUCGGCAAAAAUGUAAAAGAUUCUCCAGGAUAAUUCCAGGACGCUUUUUCUACGUAAAAAAGCAUAUCGAACAAGAGGCCGUCAAUGAAAUUGAGCUGGCAUUCGGAUUCCUGAGAUCCAAAUACAUGAGGAUAGCGUGAGGCA
Molecule: long non-coding RNA, 646 nt
Organism: Athalia rosae (coleseed sawfly)
Lineage: Eukaryota; Metazoa; Arthropoda; Insecta; Hymenoptera; Athaliidae
Exons: 3
Source: RefSeq, a predicted model, not a curated record